CCUACGGGUGGCUGCAGUAGGGAAUAUUGGGCAAUGGGCGGAAGCCUGACCCAGCCAUGCCGCGUGAAGGAAGACGGCCUUAUGGGUUGUAAACUUCUGAACUAGCCGAAUAAAAGGCCUGUGGACACACAGGAGAAGAAAGUAGGCUAGGAAAAGUCCCGGCUAACUACGUGCCAGCAGCCGCGGUAAGACGUAGGGGGCAAGCGUUACCCGGAAUUACUGGGCGUAAAGGGGGCGUAGGCGGUAAAAGAAGUCAUCUGUGAAAACCUAUUGCUCAACGAUAGGCUAGCGGAUGGAACUGAAUUACUUGAGGGCACCAGAGGUAGACGGAAUUACCCGAGUAGGGGUGAAAUCCGCAGAUACGGGUAGGAACGCCGGUGGAGAAGUCGGUCUACUGGGGUGCACCAGACGCUGAGGCCCGAAAGCGAGGGGAGCAAACCGGAUUAGAUACCCUAGUAGUC
Molecule: ribosomal RNA, 461 nt
Filed under: uncultured Thermotogales bacterium
Lineage: Bacteria; Thermotogati; Thermotogota; Thermotogae; Thermotogales
Description: bacterial SSU rRNA
Rfam family: Bacterial small subunit ribosomal RNA
Source: RNAcentral